AAUGCAGAGUGGCACCAGAGUUAGGACACAUGAAGCUAUGGCCUUGGUGGACAUGGGAAUGUGCCUCUCAGAUCUUAGUCUCUAGGGAGUGAAACAGAUUUAGGGCUUUGGCUCAUGGCUAUGAAAUCUAUUGCCAUAUAAGUGCCAAUGACCGAGUGCAGUGGGAACACUAAGCAGAACCACUCCUGGGAGGCGAGUACCCUGUGGUCCCUUUGACAGAUGAUUUGGGCUCAAGGACUCCUUAACAGCUUUGCUGAAUUUUCCUUAAAACUGCACUGCAGUCUCAGAUGCACCCACCCAAUCUUCUUUCUUCUUUAAUUUGGGAUCAGAAAUCCAAUGCGAUCUAAUGCUUUCCCAGACUUUUUUCAUUCACAGGUAUUUCCCCCAAGAUUUUCUUGUAUGUUGGAUUCAGCCUUGAACUCUGCCUUUCAGAGGACCUCAACUAACUCAGAAGCUAUUUGUUACUGUCAUUGAUAUUAAUAUGCUCUUUCUACAAUGUCUACAUAAUUGUCGAACAUAGAAAUGUAUGCGGGGAGUUCCCAUUGUGGCUCAGCAGUAACAAAAAACUAGGAUCCAUGAGGAUGCGGCUUUGAUCCUUGGUCCUGCUCAGUGGGUUAAGGAUCUGGUGUUGCCAUGACCUGUGGUGUAGGUCGCAGAUGGGGCUCAGAUCUGCUGUUGCUGUGACUGUGGCAUAGGCCAGCAGCUGUAGCUGCAAUUCAACACUAGCCUGGGAAAUUUCGUAUGCUGCAGGUGUGGCCCUAAAAAGCAAAAAAAAAAAAAAAAAAAAAAAAAAAAAGGAAAAAAGAAAUGUGUGCCAUGAAUUCUGUAGUGAUACACUGAAUUCUGUAGUGUGCCAUGAAUUCUGUAGUGAUACACUUGUUUAAGAAAGAAUGGAUUAAACCAAAAUGUCCUUGAGUAAGAUGGUCCCAAGAAUGGGUAGGCAUAUCCCCCAAAGUGAUUAGUGGGAAAGAAAUGAGUUCAUUGUAUAGUAUGUCUUCCUUUCUCUCUUCUUAAUUAUAUUCCUUUUCCUUUUUGGACUAGAGCAAUUUUUAAAAAUCACUUUUCUGGUGCUUUUUAGUUUCUUCUCAUUUUAGUCCUUUUUGCUUUAGUCAAUAAAUAAUAAAAAUGUUGAUCUAAUUUGGGAAGAGGUAGGAGAGGAGAACCCAAAUCCUUACAGAAUCACCAAAAUAGAAAGACAUGAAAACUUCCUGGGUAAAUGUUCCUUUAAGACUCUUUCUAGCCUUGUGAUCCCAGGUUUAGUUGUACCAGGAAUUAAAGAAUAUGAGAGGUAGAGGGGCUCAUAGUGGGAAUUAUCUAGAUCCCAUACAUUCUGACUCCAAAAAGCCUGAAUCAUUAUAACAAGUCAUUUUCUAUUCUUUUCUUUGUCAUUUAUGAAUAUCUACCAUUUACCUGACCAUCUAUUUCACUCUCCUGUCAUUUUAAUGAGAACAAAUUUAUUUUUAAAAUCUUAAGAGGACUUUUUUUUUUUUUUUUUUUUUUUAGGGCCUCUUAAAAUCCCCACAGAUGCAGUGAACAAAUCCGUUUGAUCCCUGAAAAUUGUAAUCAGGUCAGCCUUUAGCAUUUUUUUUCGUUGCAGUGUAAAGAGCCAAUUUCAUUCAUUAAUUUGUGUAUUCAUUUAGCAAGUAAUUUUAGAGCCUUAUUAUACCAGAUUUUUUUUUUUUUUUUUUUUUUUUUGCCCAUUUCAUUACUUCUGUUUGUAUUUCUUGGACUCUUUUCAGCUGUUUGAAAACUCUUUAAAGGCUGAUGACCAAUAUUAGACAUGCUAUUAUUAUAAAGAUCUGACUUACUGAAAGGAUUAGAUGAUAGCUUUCGUUUCAAUGUUUAUUACCGCCUAAAAUAUUAUAUCACUUCCCUUGUUCAUAUACUACUCACGAACAUCAACUCUGUCCAAACUACUGGAAAAGUAUGUAAUCAAAUACCACUUCCAGAUCUCCUUUUCUAUGUUACAUUAAGUAGUGUUUUAUGUUUGUAAUUUAUCCGUCCUAUUUCACAGUUUUUAGUAUGAGAAAUUUUUUAAUUUAUUCACACUAUUCAUUUUCUUUAACCCCCCUCCAUUUUUAAAAUUUUGGAAUAAUCCGGUCUAUAUUUACAAAAGAACUUACUGAGAUAUUUAUGGGAAUUACACUAAAUCUGUGUAUUAAUUUUGAAAGAAUUGACAUCUUUACUAUGUUGAAUCUGCCAACUCAAGAAUGAUUGGCCAGCAGAGGCCUUCCAUGUAGUACAGAGAACUCUACCCAAUAUUCUGUGAUAAUCUCUGUGGAAAAACAAUCUGAAAGAGAAUGGGUAUUUGUACAUGUAUAACUGAAUCACUUUGUUGUACAGCAGAAAUUAUCACAACCUUGUAAAUCAACUAUACUCCAACAAAACCUUAAAAAAUACAUUCCACCUCUUUAUUUCAUUAAAAUCACCUUGAUAUACAAUGAAGGUGAAAAUCCAGGUUCUAGCACUUAUUAGCCAUGUGCCUUUGAACAAAUUAUUUAACCCCUCUAUUUCUUCAUUUGGAAAAUGAGGACAAUUAUACUUAAAUGAUAAGUAUGAUAGGACGGCAGAAAUGACAUAUUAACACAUAGCUAAUAUAAAGUAGGUGCUGAAAAUGUUAGUCUUUCUUGUAGAUAUGGCUGGUUAUUUACAUUACACUAAAUUGAAAAAAAAAAGGAGCUUAACUUAAGAGAGAAUUUAGCUAGAGAAAAUCUUCAAAAAAAAAAAAAAAACCUCAGAAAGGGAAUGCAGUGUUAGCUCUUUUGGCAAAAGCAUAUUUAAGAGACUUAAAAGAGAAGAAUCAUAUAUCAUAUCAUAUUCUUUUCAUAUUUGCCUUAAUGUAGAUCAGGGCCACAGAUAAAACAUUUUUCCUCCAAUUUAGACAUCUGAAAAAUUAUUUCAAUACAGAAAAAAUGCAUUUAAUUUUCUCAAAAGUAGAUAUGUUUCUCAUUAGACCAAAGAGAGAAACUCAGAGAAGGGAAACCUUAUUAGACACAUGAGAACUACCUCCAAAUAGUGGCAACAUUGUCACAUAGAAGAAGAUCCCAGGAAGG
RNAcentral lists this long non-coding RNA (3053 nucleotides) under Sus scrofa (pig). Its description in RNAcentral is "lncRNA (ENSSSCG00000057286.1)". The record is from RNAcentral. Lineage: Eukaryota; Metazoa; Chordata; Mammalia; Artiodactyla; Suidae.